UGGGGAAUAUUGGACAAUGGGGGCAACCCUGAUCCAGCCAUGCCGCGUGUGUGAAGAAGGCUUUCGGGUUGUAAAGCACUUUCAGUGAGGAGGAAAACCUUAAGUUUAAUACGCUUGAGGCUUGACGUUACUCACAGAAGAAGCACCGGCUAACUCCGUGCCAGCAGCCGCGGUAAUACGGAGGGUGCAAGCGUUAAUCGGAAUUACUGGGCGUAAAGCGCGCGUAGGUGGUUUGAUAAGCGAGAUGUGAAAGCCCCGGGCUCAACCUGGGAACGGCAUUUCGAACUGUCAGGCUAGAGUAUGGUAGAGGAGUGUGGAAUUUCCUGUGUAGCGGUGAAAUGCGUAGAUAUAGGAAGGAACACCAGUGGCGAAGGCGGCACUCUGGACCAAUACUGACACUGAGGUGCGAAAGCGUGGGGAGCAAACAGG
RNAcentral lists this ribosomal RNA (429 nucleotides) under uncultured bacterium. RNAcentral's name for it is "bacterial SSU rRNA". It matches the Rfam family "Bacterial small subunit ribosomal RNA", at positions 355 to 776 of the family's 1533-position model. The record is from RNAcentral.